GUGAGAAUGUUGGCAUGAGUAGCGAGAUGUGGGUGAGAAUCCCACAGGCCGUAAACCCAAGGUUUCCAGGGGAAGGUUCGUCCGCCCUGGGUUAGUCGGGACCUAAGCUGAGGCCGAAAGGCGUAGGUGAUGGACAACAGGUUGAUAUUCCUGUACUACCGAUAACCGUUUGAGAGAAGGGAUGACACAGUAGGAUAAGCUAAGCACACUGUUGGUUAUGUGUGCCCAAGCAUUGAGGCAGUCAAAGUAGGCAAAUCCGCUUUGAUAAUGCUGGGAUGUGAUGGGGAGCGAAAUUUAGUAGCGAAGUAGCUGAUUUCACACUGUCAAGAAAAGUCUCUAUCGAGGUUAAAGGUACCCGUACCGCAAACCGACACAGGUGGGUGAGGAGAGUAUCCUAAGGCCAGCGAGAGAACUGUUGUUAAGGAACUCGGCAAAAUGACCCCGUAACUUAGGGAUAAGGGGUGCCACCAUCAGGUGGCCGCAGAGAAUAGGCCCAAGCGACUGUUUACCAAAAACAUAGGUUUCUGCUAAGUCGCAAGACGAUGUAUAGGAGCUGACGCCUGCCCGGUGCUGGAAGGUUAAGGGGAUCUGUUAGAGCAAUCGAAGCAGUGAACUUAAGCC
This 621-nucleotide ribosomal RNA is filed under the name Clostridioides difficile. RNAcentral describes it as "partial 23S ribosomal RNA". It matches the Rfam family "Bacterial large subunit ribosomal RNA", at positions 1288 to 1919 of the family's 2925-position model. Lineage: Bacteria; Bacillati; Bacillota; Clostridia; Peptostreptococcales; Peptostreptococcaceae. The record is from RNAcentral.